CCUACGGGUGGCAGCAGUGAGGAAUAUUGGUCAAUGGACGCGAGUCUGAACCAGCCAAGUAGCGUGAAGGAUGACUGCCCUAUGGGUUGUAAACUUCUUUUAUAUGGGAAUAAAAUGUUCCACGUGUGGGUUUUUGUAUGUAUCAUAUGAGUAAGGAUCGGCUAACUCCGUGCCAGCAGCCGCGGUAAUACGGAGGAUCCGAGCGUUAUCCGGAUUUAUUGGGUUUAAAGGGAGCGUAGGUGGAUUGUUAAGUCAGUUGUGAAAGUUUGCGGCUCAACCGUAGAAUUGCAGUUGAAACUGGCAGUCUUGAGUACAGUAGGGGUGGGCGGAAUUCGUGGUGUAGCGGUGAAAUGCUUAGAUAUCACGAAGAACUCCGAUUGCGAAGGCAGCUCACUGGACUGCAACUGACACUGAGGCUCGAAAGUGUGGGUAUCAAACAGGAUUAGAUACCCCAGUAGUC
This 460-nucleotide ribosomal RNA is filed under the name uncultured bacterium. RNAcentral's name for it is "partial 16S ribosomal RNA". It matches the Rfam family "Bacterial small subunit ribosomal RNA", at positions 338 to 795 of the family's 1533-position model. The record is from RNAcentral.